CUUUCUUUUGUUGACAUAAUUUACAUCUAAUCUGGAGAUGUAAUGUGUUGAUCGACAUUUCAAUUGGUUCCUCUUUUACGUAUAAUUGGGAUUUUUUAUUUAUUAUUAUUAUUUUUAAUAUUGAUUUCUGAAUCUGAUCAUGAUAUCCAGUUUCUGUAUAUGGAGAUGUGAGGAUGUUUGUCCACCUAUUCUGCAAUUGAAUGAUGAUUAUAAAACAUGCACUACCAUCUGAUCUCUAUUGCUUCUAUCAAGAUUCUUGCUUCUUCUUCUUCUUUUAUUUAUUUAUUUAUUUUAUUUUAAAAUUACAUAUUUUUAUUUUCUCAAAUCUGAUUUUCUUGUACACUAAUUAUAAUAAUUAAGUUAUGCAAUCACUGAUGAAGUUACCUUUUGUUACUGAUUUAUGCGUGAUUAUUACAGAACUUAUCACCAUCUUUCGGCUGAGAUUGCAAUAUAUCAUCUUUCUUUUCCACGUCCAUUUCACAACUUUUUUCUUACUAUUUUUUGUAAUUUACUCUUGUGUGGCUCUAUAUUUUAAAAUCUAGUUUCAACCACAUAUUCUUUGAAUAGAAUAAAUUUGUUGAUGCAUCCAUAACUUUUUCUCUACUUUUUAAUUGUGCAUUAUUCAAAAAAAUUACUUUUCUCAAAAUCAUUUUUCAAAAAAAUCUUAACCCAAUAGGGAACAAAAGAAGUGCAUAAAAUGAUGUUGCCCGUGGUAUCUAAUGUCCUGAAUCAUAUUCUGUUGUUGGAUGUUUCAUUUUGAGGGCAGAAAUAAAGUAAAGAACAGGUCUUGCGACACGGAUUGUUUUAAUUUUAAAAGCUUUCUGUUACUUUAACCCUG
Molecule: long non-coding RNA, 838 nt
Filed under: Olea europaea subsp. europaea
Lineage: Eukaryota; Viridiplantae; Streptophyta; Magnoliopsida; Lamiales; Oleaceae
Source: RNAcentral